This 324-nucleotide non-coding RNA is filed under the name Pan troglodytes (chimpanzee). Lineage: Eukaryota; Metazoa; Chordata; Mammalia; Primates; Hominidae. The record is from RNAcentral.
GGCAGAGAGAGGAAAACACGCGCGCGCACACACGGUGAUAUCUUGCGGGUGAUGAAUAUGAUAAUUGGACAAGGGACGAGAGAACCAUUCUCUGCUUUCAAUAGGACAGAAGAGCUCCUUGGCACUGGAUGCCUCCGGGUCUGGUUGAGAGAGGAAUGGUUAGGAGACUGUUCUGAGGAUACGCAGACAUCAUCCAAAGCUUCCUACAUUCAGAUGAGGACAGAGGUUGGGCCAGAGCUUUGUAUGCUUGUUACCUAAGGAUGGUUCUGACCAUGUAAGCAGAUCACAGAAGAGCCAGCCUUGACAAUGUGCUGUUGGCAACCU